This is a non-coding RNA of Pteropus alecto (black flying fox), 119 nucleotides long. The record is from Rfam. Lineage: Eukaryota; Metazoa; Chordata; Mammalia; Chiroptera; Pteropodidae.
GUCUACGGCCAUACUACCCUGAACAAGCCCGAAACCGUCUGAUCUCGGAAGCUAAGCAGUGUCGGGCCUAGUAAGUACUUGGAUGGGAGACCACCUAGGAAGACCAGGUGCUGUAGGCA